RNAcentral lists this ribosomal RNA (441 nucleotides) under uncultured bacterium. Its description in RNAcentral is "partial 16S ribosomal RNA". It matches the Rfam family "Bacterial small subunit ribosomal RNA", at positions 338 to 795 of the family's 1533-position model. The record is from RNAcentral.
CCUACGGGUGGCAGCAGUGGGGAAUAUUGCACAAUGGGGGAAACCCUGAUGCAGCGACGCCGCGUGAGUGAAGAAGUAUUUCGGUAUGUAAAGCUCUAUCAGCAGGAACGAGACAAGACGGUACCUGACUAAGAAGCCCCGGCUAACUACGUGCCAGCAGCCGCGGUAAUACGUAGGGGGCAAGCGUUAUCCGGAAUCACUGGGUGUAAAGGGAGCGUAGACGGCUGUGCAAGCCUGAAGUGAAAGGCGGGGGCCCAACCCCUGGACUGCUUUGGGAACUGUACGGCUGGAGUGCAGGAGAGGUAAGUGGAAUUCCUAGUGUAGCGGUGAAAUGCGUAGAUAUUAGGAGGAACACCAGUGGCGAAGGCGGCCUGCUGGACGACAACUGACGGUGAGGCGCGAAAGCGUGGGGAGCAAACAGGAUUAGAUACCCGAGUAGUC